AACACUGUUAACCUGCGGUACCUGCGGAAGGAUCAUUACAGAGUUGCAAAACUCCCUAAACCAUUGUGAACGUUACCUAAACCGUUGCUUCGGCGGGCGGCCCGGGUCCUUCCCGGCGCCCCUCGGCCCUCGCGGGCGCCCGCCGGAGGUAAACUAAACUAUUGCAUUGUAUGGCCUCUCUGAGUCUUCUGUACUGAAUAAGUCAAAACUUUUAACAAUGGAUCUCAGAUCGGAAGAGCA
RNAcentral lists this unclassified non-coding RNA (240 nucleotides) under soil metagenome. RNAcentral's name for it is "partial contains 5.8S ribosomal RNA, internal transcribed spacer 2, and large subunit ribosomal RNA". The record is from RNAcentral.